RNAcentral lists this ribosomal RNA (253 nucleotides) under uncultured bacterium. Its description in RNAcentral is "partial 16S ribosomal RNA". It matches the Rfam family "Bacterial small subunit ribosomal RNA", at positions 524 to 776 of the family's 1533-position model. The record is from RNAcentral.
GACAGAGGUGCCGAGCGUUAGGCGGAAUCACUGGGCUUAAAGCGUGUGUAGGCGGGCCGUUAAGUAUCUUGUGAAAUCCCCCGGCUCAACCGGGGAAUGGCUGGAUAUACUGGCGGUCUUGAGCAGUUCAGGGGCAGAUGGAACAGACGGUGGAGCGGUGAGAUGCGUAGAUAUCGUCUGGAACGCCAAAGGUGAAGACAGUCUGCUGGGAACUUGCUGACGCUGAGACACGAAAGCCAGGGGAGCGAACGGG